AACAAAAGUACUAGAUUUGAGGACAUGAGAAGUGUGGAAGAUGAGAGGGUGCCCUUCAGAAGACCAAUUGCCAAAAAGUCGGGAAACAAAGCUGCUGGAAUGGAAUCUCGAGAUGGGGAUCUUGACUUGGAUGAAUUCUCACAGGGACGCAAAUCUGGUCAGUCAUCCUCAAGGCAACAUGCUUCACGGCCAGAAGCAACACCAUUGGAUUUUGUUGUCCGACCCCAAUCUAAGAUAGAUCCAGAUGAAAUCAGAGCUCGUGCUAAGCAAGCCGUGCAAGAUCAACGUCGCAUGAAGAUGAACAAAAAGUUGCAGCAGUUGAAGGCUCCAAAGAAGAAGCAGCUUCAAGCAACAAAACUCAGUGUCGAGGGUCGUGGUAUGGUCAAGUACUUGUGAUGUGUUAUUUAACAUGUUAUCAUAGGAACUAGAAGAUGGAGUCUGCCAUCCUCAUCGUGGCCGGGAAGUCCUGCAGAUGGCUUAAUAAUGAAGGAUGCAGAUGCUGAAGUAGCAGCAGUCAGUUCGUUCCCCUACCAAAACUCCUCCAUCCAAUGACCACAAACUCUCCAAGGGAUCUGAAUUAUUUCUCUUUCGCGGUUGAAAAUGCUUAAGUUUUACUUGUACAAAAUGAUCGUCGUAUGUUUUUGGAUUUGGAUUGAAAUCAAAUUGCAAAUUG
Molecule: unclassified non-coding RNA, 673 nt
Filed under: Hevea brasiliensis (rubber tree)
Lineage: Eukaryota; Viridiplantae; Streptophyta; Magnoliopsida; Malpighiales; Euphorbiaceae
Source: RNAcentral